This 424-nucleotide ribosomal RNA is filed under the name Verrucomicrobiota bacterium. Its description in RNAcentral is "Verrucomicrobia bacterium partial 16S ribosomal RNA". It matches the Rfam family "Bacterial small subunit ribosomal RNA", at positions 355 to 776 of the family's 1533-position model. The record is from RNAcentral. Lineage: Bacteria; Pseudomonadati; Verrucomicrobiota.
UGAGGAAUAUUGGUCAAUGGGCGAGAGCCUGAACCAGCCAAGUAGCGUGCAGGAUGACGGCCCUAUGGGUUGUAAACUGCUUUUAUAUGGGAAUAAAGUGAGGGACGUGUCCCUUAUUGCAUGUACCAUAUGAAUAAGGACCGGCUAAUUCCGUGCCAGCAGCCGCGGUAAUACGGAAGGUCCAGGCGUUAUCCGGAUUUAUUGGGUUUAAAGGGAGCGUAAGCUGUUUGUUAAGCGUGUUGUGAAAUGUAAGAGCUCAACUUUUAGAUUGCAGCGCGAACUGGCAGACUUGAGUGCGCACAACGUAGGCGGAAUUCAUGGUGUAGCGGUGAAAUGCUUAGAUAUCAUGACGAACUCCGAUUGCGAAGGCAGCUUACGGGAGCGCAACUGACGCUAAAGCUCGAAGGUGCGGGUAUCGAACAGG